Drosophila pseudoobscura is the source of this 543-nucleotide long non-coding RNA. RefSeq lists it as uncharacterized. The record is from RefSeq and is a predicted model, not a curated record. Lineage: Eukaryota; Metazoa; Arthropoda; Insecta; Diptera; Drosophilidae. The transcript is spliced from 2 exons.
AUAAUAUUAAAAAAAAAGACUGCAAUGCGGGCUGCUAGCCUUCCUACGGAAUUGAACGCAGAAAACAGAAAAAGGCAGCCCGCAGCAGCGAAAGAGCGCUGGCAGAGCUGCAUGUUCGAACAUGUGCAUGAAAGAGAACGCACGAGGGCAAGCGCAUGACGACGUUACACACCAACACACUUACACACACACACAUACAGACAAAGACUCGAUUAUAAAAGCGUAGAGAAGUAAAAAAUACACCACGAAAUCAAAGUGAGAAGGAAAAAACGUAAUGCAUACACAAUUUCAACAAUUUGCAUGCUAUAGCAGCGUAAUAAUUUAAUAAUAAUUAUAUAAACACCAGCAGCACCUUUUUUCAGGCACAACAAGACACGAUAUCAAGACGAGGAGGGUGUUGAUUUAUAAUAAUUCGAGACGAACCGAAAACACCGAUGCCUGCGAAGUGGGUCCAAAGAAAAAUGUUUUUACCUAUUUAUUUAUGUAUUACUUUAUGUUCGACGAGCGGAGCGCAGCAACCUCGCAGCUCAAAAGUGGAUGAAA